RNAcentral lists this ribosomal RNA (794 nucleotides) under uncultured bacterium. RNAcentral's name for it is "bacterial SSU rRNA". It matches the Rfam family "Bacterial small subunit ribosomal RNA", at positions 94 to 863 of the family's 1533-position model. The record is from RNAcentral.
AGUGGCGCACGGGUGAGUAGCGCGUGGGUAAUCUACCCCUGAAUUGGGGAUAACCCCGCGAAAGCGGGGCUAAUACCGGAUGAAGUCGGAGGGUCUUCGGGUCUUCCGAUGAAAGGUGGCCACUCGAUCGAAGCUACCGUUUGGGGAUGAGCCCGCGUACCAUUAGCUAGUUGGUGGGGUAAAGGCCUACCAAGGCAACGAUGGUUAGCUGGUCUGAGAGGAUGAUCAGCCACACUGGAACUGACACACGGUCCAGACUCCUACGGGAGGCAGCAGUGAGGAAUUUUGCGCAAUGGGGGAAACCCUGACGCAGCAACGCCGCGUGGGUGAUGAAGGCCUUCGGGUCGUAAAGCCCUGUCAAGUGGGAAGAACCUGGCAUAUGCGAACAGUGUAUGUCACUGACGGUACCACUGAAGGAAGCACCGGCUAACUCCGUGCCAGCAGCCGCGGUAAUACGGAGGGUGCGAGCGUUAUUCGGAUUUAUUGGGCGUAAAGGGCGCGUAGGCGGUUUGGUAAGUCAGGUGUGAAAUCCCGGGGCUUAACCCCGGAAGUGCAUUUGAGACUGCCAGACUUGAGUAUGGGAGAGGGAAGUGGAAUUCCUGGUGUAGAGGUGAAAUUCGUAGAUAUCAGGAGGAACACCGGUGGCGAAGGCGGCUUCCUGGACCAAUACUGACGCUGAGGCGCGAAGGCGUGGGGAGCAAACAGGAUUAGAUACCCUGGUAGUCCACGCAGUAAACGAUGAUCACUAGGUGUAGCGGGUAUUGACCCCUGCUGUGCCGAAGCAAACGCAUUAA